GUGCUCGCUUUGGCAGCACAUACUAAAUUAGAAUAAUACAAAGAUGAGCAGGCCCCUAUGCAUGGAUGACAUGCCAGUUUGUGAAGUGUUCCAUAUUUAA
Molecule: small nuclear RNA, 100 nt
Filed under: Suricata suricatta (meerkat)
Lineage: Eukaryota; Metazoa; Chordata; Mammalia; Carnivora; Herpestidae
Source: RNAcentral